RNAcentral lists this transfer RNA (52 nucleotides) under Anthornis melanura. RNAcentral's name for it is "partial tRNA-Pro". It matches the Rfam family "tRNA", at positions 20 to 71 of the family's 71-position model. From Rfam's summary of the family: Transfer RNA (tRNA) molecules are approximately 80 nucleotides in length. Their secondary structure includes four short double-helical elements and three loops (D, anti-codon, and T loops). The record is from RNAcentral. Lineage: Eukaryota; Metazoa; Chordata; Aves; Passeriformes; Meliphagidae.
AAAAUGCCAGCUUUGGGAGUUGGUGAUGAAGGUUCGACUCCUUUCUUUCUGA